CUAGAUGGCUGUGUGACUGCCUUUUAAGGAGGAAAGUCCGGACUCAUCAGAGCACCAAAGCCGGAUAACUUCCGGCGGGGGUAACCCUAGGGAAAGUGCAACAGAAAAUAUACCGCCGGAAACGGUAAGGGUGAAAAGGUAAGGUAAGAGCUUACCACAUGCUUGGUAACAAGAAUGGUAUUGUAAACCCCUUUGGGAGCAAGUCCAAGAAACCUAGUCAUUUUGUGACAAACGUUGCUCUGCGUUUAGGUGUGGUAGGACGCUAGAGAUUGCUGGUAACAUCAAUCCAAGAUUAAUAGUCACAGCCUUGACUUUAUAAGGUACAGAAUCCGGCUUACAUGCCAUCUAGUUUG
RNAcentral lists this RNase P RNA (353 nucleotides) under Pelagibacteraceae bacterium TMED65. Its description in RNAcentral is "RNase P RNA component class A". It matches the Rfam family "Bacterial RNase P class A". From Rfam's summary of the family: Ribonuclease P (RNase P) is a ubiquitous endoribonuclease, found in archaea, bacteria and eukarya as well as chloroplasts and mitochondria. RNAcentral also lists the same sequence under 1 other name. Lineage: Bacteria; Pseudomonadati; Pseudomonadota; Alphaproteobacteria; Candidatus Pelagibacterales; Candidatus Pelagibacteraceae. The record is from RNAcentral.